UACACUCCUACGGGAGGCAGCAGUGGGGAAUUUUGGACAAUGGGCGAAAGCCUGAUCCAGUCAUGCCGCGUGCAGGAUGAAGGCCUUCGGGUUGUAAACUGCUUUUGUACGGAACGAAACGGCCUUUUCUAAUAAAGAGGGCUAAUGACGGUACCGUAAGAAUAAGCACCGGCUAACUACGUGCCAGCAGCCGCGGUAAUACGUAGGGUGCAAGCGUUAAUCGGAAUUACUGGGCGUAAAGCGUGCGCAGGCGGUUAUGUAAGACAGUUGUGAAAUCCCCGGGCUCAACCUGGGAACUGCAUCUGUGACUGCAUAGCUAGAGUACGGUAGAGGGGGAUGGAAUUCCGCGUGUAGCAGUGAAAUGCGUAGAUAUGCGGAGGAACACCGAUGGCGAAGGCAAUCCCCUGGACCUGUACUGACGCUCAUGCACGAAAGCGUGGGGAGCAAACAGGAUUAGAUACCCCAGUAGUCCC
Molecule: ribosomal RNA, 473 nt
Filed under: uncultured organism
Description: partial 16S ribosomal RNA
Rfam family: Bacterial small subunit ribosomal RNA
Source: RNAcentral